AACGAACGCUGGCGGCAGGCCUAACACAUGCAAGUCGAGCGCUGUAGCAAUACAGAGCGGCGCACGGGAGAGUAACGCGUGGGAAUCUACCUUUUGGUUCGGAAUAACACCGGGAAACUGGUGCUAAUACCGGAUAAGCCCUUCGGGGGAAAGAUUUAUUGCCAAAAGAUGAGCCCGCGUUGGAUUAGCUAGUUGGUGAGGUAAAAGCUCACCAAGGCAACGAUCCAUAGCUGGUCUGAGAGGAUGAUCAGCCUCACUGGGACUGAGACA
This 270-nucleotide ribosomal RNA is filed under the name uncultured bacterium. RNAcentral describes it as "partial 16S ribosomal RNA". It matches the Rfam family "Bacterial small subunit ribosomal RNA", at positions 29 to 326 of the family's 1533-position model. The record is from RNAcentral.